This is a non-coding RNA of Callithrix jacchus (white-tufted-ear marmoset), 730 nucleotides long. The record is from the annotation of a RefSeq genome assembly. NCBI's taxonomy places the organism in Eukaryota, Metazoa, Chordata, Mammalia, Primates, Cebidae.
CAGGAGUCAGUCCCAGUCAGGACACAGCAUGGACAUGAGGGCUCCUGCUCAGCUCCUGGGGCUCCUGCUGCUCUGGCUCCCAGGUGCCAGAUGUGACAUCCAGAUGAUCCAGUCUCCAUCCUCCCUGUCUGCAUCUGUAGGAGACAGAGUCACCAUUACUUGCCGGGCAAGUCAGGGUAUUAGCAGCUGUUUAGCCUGGUAUCAGCAGAAACCAGGGAAAGCCCCUAAGCUCCUGAUCUAUAGGGCAUCAAAUUUGGAAACAGGGGUCCCAUCAAGGUUCAGUGGAAGUGGAUCAGGGACAGAUUUUACUCUCACCAUCAGCGGUCUGCAGCCUGAAGAUAUUGCAACAUAUUACUGUCAACAGUAUGAUAAUCUCCCUCCCACAGUGUUACAAGCCCUAACAUAAACCACCAGGGGAGCAGAUGUGUGAGGCUGAGCUGUCCCAGAUGCUCCUUCUGGUGCCUCCAUCUGCUGAGAGUGUUUCUCAAAUUGCAGUCACAAUUUGAGAAGGUCACUGGAGAGUUUCUGUAAAAGGGCCAUGAAGGCCCACUUCAUCUUUUCUGUCUUUCCUGGUCCUCAUCCCCAGUAGCAUUGACAUGGCAAUGCCUGUCUUGAUUUCAUUGAGAAGAGAUGAUUACACCUGAGGAGUCUCAGUUUUGGCAUUGGUCGGAAUUCAUACAGCAAAAGUGAGCCACUCUAGGUAUUCCAAGUAGGAUUUAAAAAAAAAACA